GUUCUAUGGCACAAUGGGCCCCCUACCGAGAGGCUUUUGAGGGCUGUGCGGGUUUCCAGGAAAGGUUCUGGGGGAGUUAAGUUGGGAGGUUUUUGAAGCCAACUUUGUCACAGGUGGAAACAUCCCUCCGGCCACUUAGCGGCACCAGCUGGUGUCCUAGGCUUUCCAUGCAGGAUCUCGUAAUCCCCACAGCUUUGAGGCAGACACCCCCUCUCCAUGUUUGACAUGGAGAAACUAAGACUCAGAGGCAAAGGAGCUUGCACUGUACCCCCUGCUGUGGGAACACCUUCUGGCAACGGGCUCUCCCGCUCGGUUCUUCCCAUCAAGAAGCCCUGACCACAUUCGAGGCUCAGUACCCUGAUUUCUUUUGAGUUUUCUUCUCAUGACAUAAGCUGCUCUUAUUGGGGCUGCUUUAGGUCUUCUGUAGCCUGAGUAGGUGGGUCUCUUGCUUGCUCCCGUCUGGCCACUUGACUGUGGUUGCCUUACUUGCCAGCUUUGGUUAUUCUGAGCCCAGCAUGUGGAUGAGCUGUUUGGGGAAAGGUUGGCCACGAUGCCCCUUCCAAUUCUUGACGUCAGGCCUUUGAUAGCAGCAGAGUCCUGGUGAUUCCAGGACACAUGUGGAGCCUGCCCCCAGCCUUGGGAUCUCCGAACUUGACUUGGACAGAGGAGGCUGCAGUUUGCUGUGUCAGAGCCUUAGAUAAAAGGUGCAGCCCUGGCCAGGCUCGGGGCUCGCACCUGUAAUCCCAGUACUUCCGGAGACCAAGGCAGGUGAUCACGAGGUCAGGAGUUCAAGACCAGCCUGGCCAACAGAGUGAAAC
RNAcentral lists this long non-coding RNA (818 nucleotides) under Homo sapiens (human). RNAcentral describes it as "HSALNT0236233". The record is from RNAcentral. Lineage: Eukaryota; Metazoa; Chordata; Mammalia; Primates; Hominidae.